UGCACUUGUUUUCCUUGUUUUAUGGCCAUUUUUGCUGAUCAUCAGCAGAUCCUCCAGAAGGGGCAUAAUCAACCCAUUUCCUGCUUCAAAAGGAAUCAGAGCUUUUCCACUUCAGUGUAUUCACAUAGCUGAAGGGCAUACAAAAGCUGUGCUCUGUGUGGAUUCUACUGAUGAUCUCCUCUUCACUGGAUCAAAAGAUCGUACUUGUAAAGUAUGGAAUUUGGUGACUGUGCAGGAAAUAAUGUCACUGGGGGGUCAUC
This 260-nucleotide long non-coding RNA is filed under the name Pan troglodytes (chimpanzee). Its description in RNAcentral is "long non-coding RNA NONPTRT003511". The record is from RNAcentral. Lineage: Eukaryota; Metazoa; Chordata; Mammalia; Primates; Hominidae.